This 533-nucleotide ribosomal RNA is filed under the name Helenozyma melibiosica. RNAcentral's name for it is "[Candida] melibiosica partial large subunit ribosomal RNA". It matches the Rfam family "Eukaryotic large subunit ribosomal RNA", at positions 68 to 673 of the family's 3401-position model. Lineage: Eukaryota; Fungi; Ascomycota; Pichiomycetes; Serinales; Metschnikowiaceae. The record is from RNAcentral.
ACGGGCAUUGCCCAGUAACGGCGAGUGAAGCGGCAAAAGCUCAAUUUUGAAAUCCCCCCGGGGAGUUGUAAUUUGAAGACUAGGGGAUUUGGCCCAAACCUGCGCAAGUCCAUUGGAACAUGGCGCCCAAGAGGGUGAGAGCCCCGUCGCGCAGGCCGCAGCCUUGACAUCCCCCCGUCAAAGAGUCGAGUUGUUUGGGAAUGCAGCUCAAAGUGGGUGGUAAAUUCCAUCUAAAGCUAAAUAUUGGCGAGAGACCGAUAGCGAACAAGUACAGUGAUGGAAAGAUGAAAAGCACUUUGAAAAGAGAGUGAAACAGUACGUGAAAUUGUUGAAAGGGAAGGGCUUGCAAGCAGACACGAGUUCGCUCGGGCCAGCAUCAAUUUCGCGAGGUGGACAACACGCCAGGAAUGUGGCAGGCUCCGGCCUGUGUUAUAGCCUGCGCGCCAUACACCUCCGCGAGAUUGAGGCCUGCUCCAAAAGGAUGCUGGCGUAAUGGUUGCAAGUCGCCCGUCUUGAAAMMACGGACCAAAMAA